GACGAACGCUGGCGGCGCGCUUUAUACAUGCAAGUCGAACGAGAAGCCAGAGCUUGCUCUGGUGGAAAGUGGCGAACGGGUGAGUAACACGUGAGAAACCUGCCCCAAAGACUGGGAUAAGCCGAGGAACUUGGUCUAAUACCGGAUACCUUCUUUUAUCACAUGUUAAAAAGAAGAAAUGCUCCGGCGCUUUGGGAUGGUCUCGCGACCUAUCAGCUUGUUAGUGAGGUAAAAGCUCACCAAGGCAUCGACGGGUAGCUGGUCUGAGAGGAUGUCCAGCCACAUUGGGACUGAGAUACGGCCCAAAACUCCUACGGGAGGCAGCAGUAGGGAAUCUUGCACAAUGAGGGAAACCUUGAUGCAGCGACGCCGCGUGCGGGACGAAGGCCCUAGGGUUGUGAACCGCUUUCAGUAGGGACGAAAGUGACGGUACCUACAGAAGAAGCCCCGGACCAACUAUGUGCCAGCAGCCGCGGU
Molecule: ribosomal RNA, 477 nt
Filed under: uncultured bacterium
Lineage: Bacteria
Description: bacterial SSU rRNA
Rfam family: Bacterial small subunit ribosomal RNA
Source: RNAcentral